AAAAAUUUACUCAAAAAAAAUUGUUUUUAUACUUCAUUCUAAGGACUUAUUGAACUACCCUCGUAUUCAACACGCUGCUAGGGGUAGAGAGUAUCGUCUUCGUGAAAGGCUUAUUGUAGACGGGUACUUUCAAGAAGAUGAUAACGGACAUAACAGAAAUAUGGGAAUGCUACUUCAGACGUUUAAAAAAAGAGGACAAAGAACUGACUCAAUUUUUAAAACAUCAUCCCUUCCUAAAACUAAAAAAAAUAUUGAACCCUCGUGAUGCUUUUUACGGUGUUCCUACAGAAAACACUAAAUAUUAUUAUGAGGUGAAAGACGGGGAGAUAAUUGAAUAUAAACAUGUUUGCUUUUUGUAUCCUUUUAUUUGUAAGAUAGGCGUGUUUCCUAUAGGACAUCCAACAUUAUAUGUUGGUUUUUAUGAGUGCAAAUCAUUCACAGAACCAAAUUAUGAUCUUGGCACAGUCGAGGGUUUAGUGCGUUGUACAGUUUUGCCAACUCAAAAUCUUUAUCACCCCCUUCUACCUAUUCGUAUGCAUGGAAAAUUAAUGUUUUCUCUUUGUCGUACAUGCUGUGAAACUCUUGAACAGGGUGAAUGUCUGCAUGAAGAUGAAUCACAGCGUGUAUUUGAAGGUACCUGGGUUUCCCUUGAAUUAAAAAACGCCAUAGAACAAGAUUACAAGAUCAUACCGAUUUCAGAAAUCUGGCAGUACAGGGUCGUUCAAUAUGAUCCAUCCACUCACAAGAAUGGUCUUUUCGCAGCAUAUAUAAAUAUGUUCUUGAAAAUUAAUCAAGAAGCGUGUGGGUGGCCAUCAUACUGUAUCGAUGAAGCUUCAAAAGUGGAAUACGUACGACAAUACAAGCAGGCAGAAGGGAUAAAACGCGAUCGCAAUAAAAUUAAUAAAAAUCCUGGUUUGCGAUCCGUGGCAAAAUUAUGCCUUAAAUCUUUCUGGGGCAAGUUUGGUCAGCGUAAUGAUUUACCUCAAACAGAUAUGGUAAGAACAAAGAAAAAAUUAUUACGAAUGCAACUUAACCCAGAAAUCGAGGUCAGAAAUAUUGUACCUGCAAACGAAAUGAUGUUGUAUCUUUGUUGGGCAUACAGAGAAAAAGCAGUCACACCUCUGCCUAAUACAAACGUCGUCAUCGCAGCGUGUACGACAGCACAAGCCCGUUUAAAGUUGUACGAUUACUUGUCGCAACUAGAUCGACGAGUCUUGUAUUAUGACACGGAUUCUUGUAUAUACAUCACUCGCGGAACUUCCGGCGAAUACACUCCACCUGUAAGCUCUCUCGUGGGUGAUUUCACCGAUGAGCUCGAAAAAGAUCACGGCAAGGGUAGCUAUACUCGUAUACGCGCUUUCGUUUUAGGCGGACCAAAAUUUUACGCGUAUAUAGCCCGCGCUACAGAUGGCACGGAAUCAGCAGUGUGUACGUCUGAAGGUAUAAGUUUAAAUUUCGAUAAUUCUAAACUUGUACACGUUGCCUCCCUUCGUGAUCUUGUGAUAGACCGUAAGGAACCUAUUAAAGUCAAGUCUCGGUCGAUUGGAACCACUUGCUUUCAUCAAGUUGUCACUCGUGAUGAAAAAAAAGAUAUGCAGAGUUGUUGUUAUGAAGAGGCGUAGGGUAGACAAUUACGAUUCUCUACCCUACGGCUAUAAAACAACGUAGAUAAUUUCAAUACUUUUUGUAAAUACCGACUCUUGUAAAUAAUUUUGACUAGUUUACUUUUGUAAAUUUUAUUCUAUCCGGAUUUUUUUGCCACCCUCUAGAAAUAUAUAACCCUCAUCGAUCUUCACAAAUUGAAUAAUUCGGCACCAGCUACCACAACGACCUCUAGGCCUAUCAAUGGCUAUUCUCCAACCCUCAAUGAGUGGGAUAAUAGCACAACAGUCAACGAAUUAGGAUUAUAACCU
Molecule: RNA transcript, 1913 nt
Organism: Belonocnema kinseyi
Lineage: Eukaryota; Metazoa; Arthropoda; Insecta; Hymenoptera; Cynipidae
Gene name: phosphopantothenoylcysteine decarboxylase subunit VHS3-like
Exons: 2
Source: RefSeq, a predicted model, not a curated record